This 6858-nucleotide long non-coding RNA is filed under the name Hordeum vulgare. RNAcentral's name for it is "long non-coding RNA (HVUL_LNC011462)". Lineage: Eukaryota; Viridiplantae; Streptophyta; Magnoliopsida; Poales; Poaceae. The record is from RNAcentral.
CGGAGGAGAAGCUGGCCGCCGCGGCCGCCAGCAGCGGAGGUAUCGUGGCACUGCUCGUGCGGGACUCGGUGGCGCUCUCGGCGCACCAACGGUGGGUGAUGAUGCUGGAGGCCGAGAACUCCGCGCUCAGGGCUGGAGGAGGAGCCGCCGGCGCGGAGCCCGAGGAGGAGGAUGGCGCGGGGCACCGGGUGGCCGCCGCAUGGUGGGUCGCGCUGGCGGUGUGCGUCGGCCUCGCCCUCGGCGACCUCCUGCUCUCAAAAGUGAAAACUCACCUCCUGCUGUGAAAACCAAAAUUAAUCAAUCAUCCUUGAUUUGAUUUUUGUAAAUCAAGCGCCCAUGUGUGUGUGAAAAUGUUCCUGCUAUCAUCGAUCGAUGCUUGGCAUGGGAACCCCGUGUUCUUGUUGAAAAACAGAUGAAAUCAAGAGGGUUGAUAGAUUGGAGCGGAAGCUGCCGUAUCCGUCUCUGCACGCGAUCAACAGAUUUGUGCCGAGUCGUAGGUUAGUUAGUGAGUAUGGUUGUUUAAUUUAGCCUGGUCGAUCUGGAUAACAUAUUAACAUCUGGUCCUGGCACAACGCUCCAUGAGUCAUGACUGCGACAUUUCAGUCGGUCGUCGGUUGGUUUUUGCACAUUUCAGCACAAUGGGUAAUGAGCCACUGCCCGUUGAACCCGAGAUGGCCGUCCGAUCAAACUCACUAGGGACCUCUUUUUGGAGCCAUUCAGAUUGUAUAAUUCAGUUUUUAUAAUUUAUUAUGUCUUCAAACAUGACAGAUUAUGGUAUAUACAUUGUAAAAGACUAGAUAAACAUAUCUCUUCCUAAUCUCUUCCUAAUAAUAAAGCAAAUUCGGUUUCUGGUCGUUCAUCUUGGAAAUUACCCCUAAAGCUUGCAUAAAUUACCCACCAUGCCACCGGUAAUUAAUAGAAAAUGUUUCACAAAGCGAAAAAUCUUGGACUAGGCCGGCCCAUGUAAAAACCUCCUAUAUUACGCUCUGCACGCUGGGAGAAUAUCCAGCACACCGUACGGGUCGGCCCAUGCAUAGGCGCCUGCUUUUAGUUCCGUUUUUUUAUUUAUUUCCAGUUCCGUUUUAUUUUCUUAUUUUAAAUUAUUUAGAACUUCAAAUAAUAUUUACUCCCUCCGUCCCAAAAUAAGUGUCUUAAGCUUAGUACAAAUUUGUACUAGAGCUAGUACAAAGUUGAGACAGUUAUUUUAGGACAGAGGGAGUACAAUUUUAAUGAACUGAAAAUUAUAUAUCAACAUAUUUAAAAAAUUAAAAUGUUUGUGUCUUUAAAAACUGCUCGUAGUUUUGUAAAAAAUGCUCGCAUAUACAAUAAAAUGUUUGCAAUUUUAGAAAAAUGUUUGUCAAUAAGAAAAGUCCAUGAUCUCUAAAACAAUUUCAUGUAUUAAAAAUUAUUAAAGGCAUUUAACAAAAUGCUUUCUAAUUCAAAAUAUGUUAAUGCAUUCAAAAAAUGUCCUAAAAUUUUAAAAAUAGCUAAUGCCUGUUUUGAUAGUUUCUUUUUUUAUUUAAAUUUUUCCGUUCCAUUUUUGUUUAUUUAUAAUUGAAAUAAUUUAGAAUUGCAAAAACUUUUUCAUAUUAAAAAUAGGAAUUUUGAAUUAAAAUGCUGACGAAUUUUUAUUUGGAAUUAAAUAUAGGAUUAAAAAACGCCGGAUUUUUAUAUUUUUUUGCAAAUUCCAAAACAAUGUCCAUGAAUUUAAUAAAUAUAUUACUGAUUUAUAAAAAUGUUUGUUUAUUCAAAAAAACUUCAUUCGUUUCAAAAAAUCUUUGUGAAUUUAAAAUAAAAUCCUCCAACAUAAAAAAUUAUGUUUGUCUUUUCUUGAAUUGGUCGCCAUUUCAAAAUAAAAUAUUUAAACCCAUUCGAAAUAUAAAAAAUAUUCACGAUUUUUAGUAAAUGUUUGUAAAUUGUAAAAAAUGUUCUCAAUUUUAAAAUUGUUCACGAAAGAUCCAAUGUAUGUAGUUAAACAUUAAUGCUUCUAAGUCUUUUUGACAAUAUAUCUGUGUGAAUUUUGAAGAAUUGACGGUUGGAUGGAUCGGAUUAUUAUUGUAUGUUUUCUAAAAAAAAUCUUGAAAUUCAGAAUAAAUCUUUGAGUUACCAAGAUUUUUGACAACCAUGACAUAUAUUUUUUGAAAAUGUAAAGAUUGCUUCAACUUGUGAAUAAAUUUAAAAGAAGAAACAUUUUUUUGAAUUUGUGCACAAAAUUUCUAAAUCAAGCGAUGAUAUGUGAAUAUAAUGUGGUCACCAUUAUUGGAGAUUAUGUUUUUUUUCUUCCGUGGCAACGCACGUGCCAUUUUGCUAGUGAAACUAAACGAUUUAAUUACCACUGCCGCCUAAAUACAGGAUAAUGGGCGUGGGCUCUUUUGGGCUUCAGUACAUAGCACAUCAAGAUAAUUAUGGCUGGGCCUAAGUUAAUUAUAUCUCCGGUCAGUGAGUACAGCACCACCGUAUCUACUCUCAAUCAAAUCGUAACGCUGCCCUGAAUCUCUUAGCACAGCCGUGGGGCGGGGGCAUCAAGCAGGCCGCUGGGACGCCCCUCAGGAAGAAAUAUAUAUAGGCCUUAUAAAAUUUGGGGUCCCAAAAAUCUAUGGGCCUGUGCGGGUCGCACACUCCGCACAGCUAUGAGCCCGGUCCUGUGUACAUAUAUAUACUGAUGCCUAUAGAAGAGGCAUAUACUCAGAGACCCUCCUCUCUUCCACUAAGUCUCACUCUCCUUGCAUCGCCUCUGCUGGACGGGCGGGGGGCGCCUCAAAUCCGCCGCAUCUAGACCCCGUCCUCCCUCCGCCGCUCCUCGCAGCCGCCGGACUGGGUAGCGGCGGGGCCAUCUAUCCUUCUACCGGAGGGGGGCGGCACCGGGUGCACUUCUCGGGUGGAGGCAUGGUGGCGCGUGCUACCGGUGGUGACGGUAGGGCGUGCGGGCGCGCAGACUACUACAUGGGGACAUAUCUGUUGGAAUUAUGCCCUAGAGGCAAUAAUAAAUAUAGUUAUUAUUAUAAUUCCUGUAUCAAGAUAAUCGUUUAUUAUCCAUGCUAUAAUUGUAUUGAAUGAAGACUCAUUUACAUGUGUGGAUACAUAGACAAAACACCAUCCCUAGCAAGCCUCUAGUUGGCUAGCCAGUUGAUCAAAGAUAGUCAGUGUCUUAUGAUUAUGAACAAGGUGUUGUUGCUUGAUAACUGGAUCACGUCAUUAGGAGAAUCACGUGAUGGACUAGACCCAAACUAAUAGACGUAGCAUGUUGAUCGUGUCAUUUUGUUGCUACUGUUUUCUGCGUGUCAAGUAUUUAUUCCUAUGACCAUGAGAUCAUAUAACUCACUGACACCGGAUGAAUGCUUUGUGUUUAUCAAACGUCGCAACGUAACUGGGUGACUAUAAAGAUGCUCUACAGGUAUCUCCGAAGGUGUUAGUUGAGUUAGUAUGGAUCAAGACUGGGAUUUGUCACUCCGUGUGACGGAGAGGUAUCUCGGGGCCCACUCGGUAAUACAACAUCACACACAAGCCUUGCAAGCAAUGUAACUUAGUGUAAGUUGCGGGAUCUUGUAUUACGGAACGAGUAAAGAGACUUGCCGGUAAACGAGAUUGAAAUAGGUAUGCGGAUACUGACGAUCGAAUCUCGGGCAAGUAACAUACCGAAGGACAAAGGGAAUAACAUACGGGAUUGUAUGAAUCCUUGGCACUGAGGUUCAAACGAUAAGAUCUUCGUAGAAUAUGUAGGAUCCAAUAUGGGCAUCCAGGUCCCGCUAUUGGAUAUUGACCGAGGAGUCUCUCGGGUCAUGUCUGCAUAGUUCUCGAACCCGCAGGGUCUGCACACUUAAGGUUCAACGUUGUUUUAUGCGUAUUUGAGUUAUGUGGUUGGUUACCGAAUGUUGUUCGGAGUCUCGGAUGAGAUCACGGACGUCACAAGGGUUUCCGGAAUGGUCCGGAAACGAAGAUUGAUAUAUAGGAUGACCUCAUUUGAUUACCGGAAGGUUUUCGGAGUUACCGGAAAUGUACCGGGAAUGACGAAUGGGUUCCGGGAGUUCACCGGGGGGGGGGGGGCAACCCACCCCGGGGAAGCCCAUAGGCCUUGAGGGUGGCACACCAGCCCUUAGUGGGCUGGUGGGACAGCCCAAAAGGCUCUAUGCGCCAAGGAGAAGAAAAUCAAGAGAGAAAAAAAAGGAGGAGGUGGGAAGGAAGGGGGACUCCCUCCCACCAAACCAAGUCCAACUCGGUUUGGGGGGGGGGGAGAGUCCUCCCCCUUGGACUCGGCCGACCCCUGAGCCCCAAGGCAAGGNNNNNNNNNNNNNNNNNNNNNNNNNNNNNNNNNNNNNNNNNNNNNNNNNNNNNNNNNNNNNNNNNNNNNNNNNNNNNNNNNNNNNNNNNNNNNNNNNNNNCGGAAUGGUCCGGAAACGAAGAUUGAUAUAUAGGAUGACCUCAUUUGGUUACCAGAAGGUUUUCGUGCAUUACCGGAAAGGUUUCGGGCUCAUCGGUAGUGUACCGGGAGUGCCGGAAGGGUGCCGGGGACCAUCGGGAGGGGUGUCACGCCCCAAGGGGUCUCAUGGGCUAUGGGAAGAGAUAAACCAGCCCCUAGUGGGCUGGAAUAAGUUCCCACUAAGGCCCAUAAGGUUUGAGAAGGAAAAAACACAAGGUGGAAAGAGUUUCCAUGUGGGAAGGUGGAAUCCUACUCCAAGUAGGAUUGGAGUAGGACUCCUCCACCUCCAAUUUCGGCCAAACCUUGAGGGUUUGAGGCUGCCUCCUCCCCUCCCUCCCCCAAGUAGGAUUGGAGUAGGACUCCUCCACCUCCAAUUUCGGCCAAACCUUUAGGUUUUGAGGCUGCCUCCUCCCCUCCCUCCCACCUAUAUAUACGGAGGUUUUAGGGCUGAUUUGAGACGACUUUCUCACGGCUGCCCGACCACAUACCUCCAUAGUUUUUCCUCUAGAUCGCGUUUCUGCGGAGCUCGGGCGGAGCCCUGCUGAGACAAGAUCAUCACCAACCUCCGGAGCGCCGUCACGCUGCCGGAGAACUCAUCUACCUCUCCGUCUCUCUUGCUGGAUCAAGAAGGCCGAGAUCAUCGUCGAGUUGUACGUGUGCUGAACGCGGAGGUGCCGUCCGUUCGGUACUAGAUCGUGGGACUGAUCGCGGGAUUGUUCGCGGGGCGGAUCGAGGGACGUGAGGACGUUCCACUACAUCAACCGCGUUCACUAACGCUUCUGCUGUACGAUCUACAAGGGUACGUAGAUCACUCAUCCCCUCUCGUAGAUGGACAUCACCAUGAUAGGUCUUCGUGCGCGUAGGAAAUUUUUUGUUUCCCUUGCGACGUUCCCCAACAGGAAUACCCGGAGCAACCUGAAGAUUUCAUUGCUAAAGAACACGCGAAGACUUUCGGCGGUUGGUUGCAAAGACGUCUCAUUAAUGACAACAUUGUUGAAGAUGAGCUAUACUUGUUGGCCAAGCAACCAUCUUCGACUGUAUUGACCUUUAAAGGGUACGAGAUAAAUGGUAACACAUUUUACACGGCAGACCAAGAUAAAAAGAGCACCAACCAAAACAGUGGCGUCCGGUUUGAUGCAAAAGACGACAACGGGCAAAGAGUCACAUACUAUGGUUACAUAGAGCAUAUAUGGGAACUUGACUACGGACCUUCCUUUAAGGUCCCUUUGUUCUAGUGCAAAUGGUUCAACCUGUCAGGCGUGAAGGUAGACCCGAAGUACGGAAUGACAACAGUGGAUCAUAAGAAUCUUGGGUACGGCAAUGAUCAAUUCGUCCUAGCCAAUGAUGUGGCUCAGGUUUUCUAUGUGAAGGACAUGUCUAGCAGACCGAGAAAAAGGAAAGAUAAGGAAGCGAAUACAUCAGACGAUGAGCCAAGGCGCCACAUAGUUCUUUCAGGGAAAAGAAACAUCGUGGGAGUCGAGGACAAGACAGACAUGUCAGAAGAUUACAAUAAGUUUGAUGAAAUUCCUCCCUUCAAAGUCAAAGAUGAUCCAAGCAUCCCGUUAAAUGAUGAAGAUAGUCCAUGGUUACGGCGCAAUCAGAAGAAAGGCAAGAAGAAAAAUAGAUAGGGGGUGUUGUUGGUGAUGUGUAAUAAUGUAUUAAACCUUUUAUGUAAUUGUGUUGACCAUUUUGAUAAAUAUUAAAAAUUUGACCAGUUUCCACUAAAUUUGAUCAUUUUGAUAAAUAUCAUUUUUUAUUUUUUAAGUGUAAAAAUGAAAUUUUGACAAUUUGUAAAUAAAUGUAAAAAAAAUAGAAAAGGAAAACAAAAAAAUAAAAUAAAAGAAGAAACAGAAAAAAGAAAAAGGAAACAAAAAGAAAAAGAAAACAGGAAACAGAAAAAAGAAAAAAAGAAAAAUAAAAGAAGAAACAGGAAAAAGAAAAAGGAAACAAAAAUAAAAAGAAAACAGGAAACAGAAAAAGGAAAAAAGAAAAAUAAAAGAAGAAACGGGAAAAAGAAAAAGGAAACAAAAAGAAAAAAAAACGGGAAACAGAAAAAAGAAAAAAAGAAAAAGGAAAAAAACCUUUAGUACCAGUCUGUAACAACAACCGGUCCUAAAGGUGACCUUUAGGACCGGUUUGUAACAACAACCGGUCCUAANNNNNNNNNNNNNNNNNNNNNNNNNNNNNNNNNNNNNNNNNNNNNNNNNNNNNNNNNNNNNNNNNNNNNNNNNNNNNNNNNNNNNNNNNNNNNNNNNNNNCUAGCUCCCUUCUGCCUCGACCCCGUCAGGGGAGCGCCAGCCGUCGACGACCUGCGCCCGACCCCGCCAAGGCCUCGUCCCCGACCUACCAGAGUCUGCCUCUGCUUCACCUCGCCGCGUCGUAGCCUCUGGGAGUGGAUAAGAGGAAGGGGAUGAUCGGAUAGGGGGUGUUUUUUGCAAAAG